This 397-nucleotide ribosomal RNA is filed under the name uncultured bacterium. Its description in RNAcentral is "partial 16S ribosomal RNA". It matches the Rfam family "Bacterial small subunit ribosomal RNA", at positions 523 to 918 of the family's 1533-position model. The record is from RNAcentral.
AUACGUAGGUGGCAAGCGUUGUCCGGAUUUAUUGGGCGUAAAGCGAGCGCAGGCGGUUUCUUAAGUCUGAUGUGAAAGCCCCCGGCUUAACCGGGGAGGGUCAUUGGAAACUGGGAGACUUGAGUGCAGAAGAGGAGAGUGGAAUUCCAUGUGUAGCGGUGAAAUGCGUAGAUAUAUGGAGGAACACCAGUGGCGAAGGCGACUCGCGGGUCGGUAACUGACGCUGAGGCUCGAAAGCGUGGGGAGAAAACAGGAUUAGAUACCCUGGUAGUCCACGCCGUAAACAAUGAGUGCUAAGUGUUGGAGGGUUUCCGCCCUUCAGUGCUGCAGCUAACGCAUUAAGCACUCCGCCUGGGGAGUACGGCCGCAAGGCUGAAACUCAAAGGAAUUGACGGGG